CUUUACUUUGCAAUUUACAUUGAAUUCCUGACAAAUCUCAGUUUGGCUAAUUUCACACUUUAUUGGCUAACUCUGAAAACACAUUUAAAGCAGGGUUAAGGCAGCACAUAAUACACAGCCCAGGGGGGGCAUCCAGUCUCCUACCAUUUUGACUGCUGGCCAGGUUAUUGUAUUCAGCGUAAUAUUUGGCAGACGGAUCCCAAGGAAAUCAUAUUCAUAUAACAGUCACUCAGGAACCUUUUCCAUUAUCCCUGCUUUGUGUAUUGUCUGUCAGGAAAUCAUAUUGCAAUAUUACCUUACAUUUACUACAUAGGGUCACCGAUAACAAAACCCAGUCAGAAUUAGAAACCACUACCGGUCCAUCAGGAGUUAUGUCUUCUUUUCCCGUUAUCUGAAAGAGGCGAGUGUCUAACCCCUCCAUUCUUUGUUUAUCGGUCUGUUUGUUCCUCCCGGAUUUUACGCCAACACCAUUGAAAUGGAAGAAAAAUGUUAGAGAAUAUUUCCCGCAUUGACUAUUGUGGCCUUAAAUUUGCAGUUCUGUUUCUCAUUACUCACAUUUCCCCAGUUUAAUGAAACAAU
This is a non-coding RNA of Pelobates cultripes (western spadefoot toad), 579 nucleotides long. Lineage: Eukaryota; Metazoa; Chordata; Amphibia; Anura; Pelobatidae. The record is from the annotation of a GenBank genome assembly.